CGAACUCUGGUAUUGAUUGGUGCUUGCAUCAUGAUUUACAUUUGAGUGAGUGGCGAACUGGUGAGUAACACGUGGGAAACCUGCCCAGAAGCGGGGGAUAACACCUGGAAACAGAUGCUAAUACCGCAUAACAACUUGGACCGCAUGGUCCGAGCUUGAAAGAUGGCUUCGGCUAUCACUUUUGGAUGGUCCCGCGGCGUAUUAGCUAGAUGGUGGGGUAACGGCUCACCAUGGCAAUGAUACGUAGCCGACCUGAGAGGGUAAUCGGCCACAUUGGGACUGAGACACGGCCCAAACUCCUACGGGAGGCAGCAGUAGGGAAUCUUCCACAAUGGACGAAAGUCUGAUGGAGCAACGCCGCGUGAGUGAAGAAGGGUUUCGGCUCGUAAAACUCUGUUGUUAAAGAAGAACAUAUCUGAGAGUAACUGUUCAGGUAUUGACGGUAUUUAACCAGAAAGCCACGGCUAACUACGUGCCAGCAGCCGCGGUAAUACGUAGGUGGCAAGCGUUGUCCGGAUUUAUUGGGCGUAAAGCGAGCGCAGGCGGUUUUUUAAGUCUGAUGUGAAAGCCUUCGGCUCAACCGAAGAAGUGCAUCGGAAACUGGGAAACUUGAGUGCAGAAGAGGACAGUGGAACUCCAUGUGUAGCGGUGAAAUGCGUAGAUAUAUGGAAGAACACCAGUGGCGAAGGCGGCUGUCUGGUCUGUAACUGACGCUGAGGCUCGAAAGUAUGGGUAGCAAACAGGAUUAGAUACCCUGGUAGUCCAUACCGUAAACGAUGAAUGCUAAGUGUUGGAGGGUUUCCGCCCUUCAGUGCUGCAGCUAACGCAUUAAGCAUUCCGCCUGGGGAGUACGGCCGCAAGGCUGAAACUCAAAGGAAUUGACGGGGGCCCGCACAAGCGGUGGAGCAUGUGGUUUAAUUCGAAGCUACGCGAAGAACCUUACCAGGUCUUGACAUACUAUGCAAAUCUAAGAGAUUAGACGUUCCCUUCGGGGACAUGGAUACAGGUGGUGCAUGGUUGUCGUCAGCUCGUGUCGUGAGAUGUUGGGUUAAGUCCCGCAACGAGCGCAACCCUUAUUAUCAGUUGCCAGCAUUAAGUUGGGCACUCUGGUGAGACUGCCGGUGACAAACCGGAGGAAGGUGGGGAUGACGUCAAAUCAUCAUGCCCCUUAUGACCUGGGCUACACACGUGCUACAAUGGAUGGUACAACGAGUUGCGAACUCGCGAGAGUAAGCUAAUCUCUUAAAGCCAUUCUCAGUUCGGAUUGUAGGCUGCAACUCGCCUACAUGAAGUCGGAAUCGCUAGUAAUCGCGGAUCAGCAUGCCGCGGUGAAUACGUUCCCGGGCCUUGUACACACCGCCCGUCACACCAUGAGAGUUUGUAACACCCAAAGUCGGUGGGGUAACCUUUUAGGAA
This 1416-nucleotide ribosomal RNA is filed under the name Lactiplantibacillus plantarum. RNAcentral's name for it is "bacterial SSU rRNA". It matches the Rfam family "Bacterial small subunit ribosomal RNA". The record is from RNAcentral. Lineage: Bacteria; Bacillati; Bacillota; Bacilli; Lactobacillales; Lactobacillaceae.